Molecule: long non-coding RNA, 1157 nt
Organism: Armigeres subalbatus
Lineage: Eukaryota; Metazoa; Arthropoda; Insecta; Diptera; Culicidae
Exons: 4
Source: RefSeq, a predicted model, not a curated record
GAACCGAGAAACAGACACAGCGACUGAAAGCAUCCGUUUUCCGACUGCCUUUUCAUAGCAUUCGCAGUGUUUUUUCCGUUCGAGUGGACCAACGAGAAAAAGGUGCCGCGAGUGUCGUUCGUACCGAACGAUUGUUUAAUUGAAAACAGUGUGCACAGCACCGCGUUUAUCGGACUCGGCGAAUCAUUUUCUUUUCGGUCCGAUUGUCGCCAUCAGAAAGCGGAAAACGAAGCACAGAAAGUGUCCCACGAGGACGGGUCUCGAAGCGAGCACAUUCCGGCCGCCAACCCCACUCACUCACCGAGUAAAAAGCGAAAAGAUCGGAAAAAUCGGACCGUGUUACUUAUCACUCCGGUCCUGGCAAGCAAAAUCGGUGAGCAAGAUCCCUGUCGCAGAAGAAUCAGCUCGACGGACAAGUUCGGAUAAAGACCAGCCGGAGGAAAGUUUGCGUUUCGCUAAGUGAGCCGAAGUCCACCGGGACUGAUCAAUCCGGCAACUGGUCGGAAAAGUUUUAUCAUCUAGAACGAAACACUGAGUUAGGAGAAGCCUUCACGAGAAGGCUUCUUUGGUGUAGCUGAAGUUUUAGCGGAGCAGCUGAUUUUCGUCGUCGUUCUUUUGCGCAACUGGAUUUCCUUAGCAUAGCCGAAGUUACCAAUUUCCGGCGACCGUCCAUUGGAUGUCGGAGUGCUAACCUCGGAGUCAGUUCUUCGGUAUUUAGGCCGAUUGCCAAGUCAGCGAAUAUUCUUUGGAGGCAAACACGACUUCCGGGCGAGCAAUCCAGCAGGGUGCAGAGGUGCUAAAAGGGCGUCGAGAGAAGCGAUAAGACGAUUGCUGAGGGUCGCACGGAAUUGCGUGAGCCACGGAGGCUGCCGAUAGUGAGCGGAGACGAGCGCGGCUUGUAAGUGCGUGCCAUACAUCGACAGCCGAGUCGCGGAGCCGGAUUGCGUGUGGCGAGAGGCUCAAUCCAGUAUGAAUAUGAAGCCGAGCAUCAGGAAUUGUGGCAUUAAGACGGUGGCGCGGACGCGUGUUUCUGUAGCGUGAGUAAAAAACCAUGGUUUAGCUAGGGCUGAGAAUAGGAGUUAGGGCAAUGAUUUAUUCCUAAGAAAGGGCAUGCUAGCUCAAUAAAUAUCUGCAUCAUGUAUAUGUUUCGUUGUUGA